This 172-nucleotide non-coding RNA is filed under the name Bacillota bacterium. RNAcentral describes it as "6S RNA". It matches the Rfam family "6S / SsrS RNA". From Rfam's summary of the family: E. coli 6S RNA was the first non coding RNA to be sequenced, but its function was unknown until recently. Lineage: Bacteria; Bacillati; Bacillota. The record is from RNAcentral.
ACAAUCCUGAGAUGUUCGUUAGCCUUGAUAAUUCAACCGACAUUGAAUUAUCGGGAACUCGGGUCCUUCAAUGUAUGUCAUGCCUAAUUAGGACUUCAGAAAUUGAAGGCAGAGUACCCACCUGCUAAGAAGCGGGCGUGAAUUAUAAGAGCGACGACAUAACGGGGGUUUA